This 544-nucleotide ribosomal RNA is filed under the name Listeria innocua. RNAcentral's name for it is "partial 23S ribosomal RNA". It matches the Rfam family "Bacterial large subunit ribosomal RNA", at positions 1 to 539 of the family's 2925-position model. The record is from RNAcentral. Lineage: Bacteria; Bacillati; Bacillota; Bacilli; Caryophanales; Listeriaceae.
GGUUAAGUUAGAAAGGGCGCACGGUGGAUGCCUUGGCACUAGGAGCCGAAGAAGGACGGGACUAACACCGAUAUGCUUUGGGGAGCUGUACGUAAGCGUUGAUCCAGAGAUUUCCGAAUGGGGGAACCCACUAUCUUUAGUCGGAUAGUAUCCUUACGUGAAUACAUAGCGUGAGGAAGGCAGACCCAGGGAACUGAAACAUCUAAGUACCUGGAGGAAGAGAAAGAAAAAUCGAUUUCCUGAGUAGCGGCGAGCGAAACGGAAAGAGCCCAAACCAAGAAGCUUGCUUCUUGGGGUUGUAGGACACUCUAUACGGAGUUACAAAAGAAAGUUAUAAAUGAAGCGGUCUGGAAAGGCCCGCCAAAGACGGUAACAGCCCGGUAGUUGAAAUGGCUUUCCCUCCAGAGUGGAUCCUGAGUACGGCGGAACACGUGAAAUUCCGUCGGAAUCCGGGAGGACCAUCUCCCAAGGCUAAAUACUCCCUAGUGACCGAUAGUGAACCAGUACCGUGAGGGAAAGGUGAAAAGCACCCCGGAAGGGGAGU